Molecule: ribosomal RNA, 231 nt
Filed under: uncultured bacterium
Lineage: Bacteria
Description: partial 16S ribosomal RNA
Rfam family: Bacterial small subunit ribosomal RNA
Source: RNAcentral
GAUCCUGGCUCAGAUUGAACGCUGGCGGCAUGCUUUACACAUGCAAGUCGAACGGCAACACAGGGAGCUUGCUCCCGGGUGGCGAGUGGCGCACGGGUGAGUAAUACAUCGGAACGUAUCCUGUUGUGGGGGAUAACUGCUCGAAAGGGUGGCUAAUACCGCAUGAGACCUGAGGGUGAAAGCGGGGGAUCGCAAGACCUCGCGCAAUUGGAGCGGCCGAUGCCCGAUUAG